AGUCGAGCGGAAACGACACUAACAAUCCUUCGGGUGCGUUAAUGGGCGUCGAGCGGCGGACGGGUGAGUAAUGCCUAGGAAAUUGCCUUGAUGUGGGGGAUAACCAUUGGAAACGAUGGCUAAUACCGCAUAAUGCCUACGGGCCAAAGAGGGGGACCUUCGGGCCUCUCGCGUCAAGAUAUGCCUAGGUGGGAUUAGCUAGUUGGUGAGGUAAUGGCUCACCAAGGCGACGAUCCCUAGCUGGUCUGAGAGGAUGAUCAGCCACACUGGAACUGAGACACGGUCCAGACUCCUACGGGAGGCAGCAGUGGGGAAUAUUGCACAAUGGGCGAAAGCCUGAUGCAGCCAUGCCGCGUGUAUGAAGAAGGCCUUCGGGUUGUAAAGUACUUUCAGUUGUGAGGAAGGGGGUAAGCGUUAAUAGCGUUAUCUCUUGACGUUAGCAACAGAAGAAGCACCGGCUAACUCCGUGCCAGCAGCCGCGGUAAUACGGAGGGUGCGAGCGUUAAUCGGAAUUACUGGGCGUAAAGCGCAUGCAGGUGGUUCAUUAAGUCAGAUGUGAAAGCCCGGGGCUCAACCUCGGAACUGCAUUUGAAACUGGUGAACUA
RNAcentral lists this ribosomal RNA (605 nucleotides) under Vibrio sp. Vb252. RNAcentral's name for it is "bacterial SSU rRNA". It matches the Rfam family "Bacterial small subunit ribosomal RNA", at positions 60 to 643 of the family's 1533-position model. The record is from RNAcentral. Lineage: Bacteria; Pseudomonadati; Pseudomonadota; Gammaproteobacteria; Vibrionales; Vibrionaceae.